GACGAACGCUGGCGGCGUGCUUAACACAUGCAAGUCGAACGGAAAGGCCCUGCUCUUGCGGGGUGCUCGAGUGGCGAACGGGUGAGUAACACGUGAGUAACCUGCCCCUGACUUUGGGAUAACUUCAGGAAACUGGGGCUAAUACCGGAUAGGAGCUCCUGCUGCAUGGUGGGGGUUGGAAAGUUUCGGCGGUUGGGGAUGGACUCGCGGCUUAUCAGCUUGUUGGUGGGGUAGUGGCUUACCAAGGCUUUGACGGGUAGCCGGCCUGAGAGGGUGACCGGCCACAAUGGGACUGAGAUACGGCCCAGACUCCUACGGGAGGCAGCGGUGGGGAAUAUUGCACAGUGGGCGGAAGCCUGAUACAGCAACGCCGCGUGCGGGAUGACGGCCUUCGGGGUGUAAACCGCUUUCGCCUGUGACGAAGCGUGAGUGACGGUAAUGGGUAAAGAAGCACCGGCUAACUACGUG
Molecule: ribosomal RNA, 468 nt
Filed under: uncultured bacterium
Lineage: Bacteria
Description: partial 16S ribosomal RNA
Rfam family: Bacterial small subunit ribosomal RNA
Source: RNAcentral